GAGCAUAUGAUCGAAGGACCUGUUCUCCUGGACGAGCACGACUAUCGUCUUGAUCCGGCCGCUCGGCUGCGCUGCAUUGGUGCCGGGGCUCAAGAGGAGCAGCAGGACAAGAGGGGACAAGAUUAAAUAGCGCGCGCUGGAUUCUUUGCUUGGCCACUUCAAGAAUACCAGCGCAACAAAGGAAUGAGUAGCGCUCACUCCAGUCGAUGCAAAUCUUAUAAGCAAGUAUGGUGAGUGUGCACGCUCAUGACUUUGCCUUGCACGCAUCCAGCCCAAACUCAUGAGGGUCCUCCAGCCCCAAAGCAGGCCCGAGCGAAUGAAAAGAACAGAAGGUGUGAAAGAAACCCCCAGAAAGCGAGCAAGAACCUUUUCUCUCAAACAGCGGAGAGGAAGAUAGACGAUGAUGCGAAUAUGCCGCGUCCAUUUGUCUGGAUUGGUUAAUUGAUGCCAGUAACUGUUUGGCAA
Long non-coding RNA from Selaginella moellendorffii, 465 nucleotides. RefSeq lists it as uncharacterized. NCBI's taxonomy places the organism in Eukaryota, Viridiplantae, Streptophyta, Lycopodiopsida, Selaginellales, Selaginellaceae. The record is from RefSeq and is a predicted model, not a curated record. The transcript has 2 exons.